Homo sapiens (human) is the source of this 916-nucleotide long non-coding RNA. Ensembl annotates it as small nucleolar RNA host gene 14. Its record names the gene SNHG14. The record is from Ensembl. NCBI's taxonomy places the organism in Eukaryota, Metazoa, Chordata, Mammalia, Primates, Hominidae.
GGAUCGAUGAUGAGUCCUCCAAAAAAAACAUUCCUUGGAAAAGCUGAACAAAAUGAGUGAAAACUCAUACCGUCAUUCUCAUCGGAACUGAGGUCCAGCACAUUGCUUCCUCUGGGGCCUUUACUAGUGAGGGACAACUUCCACUAGUCCCUAUAGGUUCUAACACCCAUGGCGUUCACAGGUGAAGGUCUCCUGUCAUAUUACAAACAUUCCCCCCACUCCCCUCCCAAAAAAAGGAACAUUUCCUCUGUGUCAGGUACACAGGUCAGAGAGUCAUAGGGUGACUGGCUGCUCUGUGAUGGCAUAGUGGCCGUGGAAGUGGAUGGAAAUGUCGCAGGCUUAGGGGAGUGUGGGGCUGGCCUCGGCUUGGUGAGCUCCCAGGAAGGGGGACCUGGAAAUCGCUGCGGGCAUCCUUGCAUAGAGGACCAGCAGCAGUUGUCAUGAGAGGUCUGCCGCUUGCUGGCAAGGAAGAUGGUCAAUUCUUCUGACCAACAGAGGCUGCCUUGAGUCCUGAUUUGGUGUGGCCUGGCAUCUAUGGUGCACCCAAUGCUGGGGCAGUUGCCGUGGGAGGCCUGCCGUCUGCUGAAAGGAAGAUGGUUGAUGCUUCUGAGCAAUGAAGGCCCCAUGGAGUCCUGGAUUCGGUGUGGCCUUGCAUCCGUGGUGCACCCCGUGCUGGUGGAUGGCUCAGGACGGUAAGCAUUCCUCUGCCCCGCAUGAUGACUGAGGGUGUCUUUAGGAUUUCUGAGACCCACAAGGAGCAGUUCUUCAGCAGGCCAUUAAGGGCAUGGCUGUGGUCUUUAAAGUCAUUGGCUCACCCACUGCCCAGCCUGUGGUGUCAAAUGUCCUGCCUCUUCAAAUGUGCUUGGAUCGAUGAUGAGUCCUCCAAAAAAACAUUCCUUGGAAAAGCUGAACAAAA